AUGAUGAGGGAAACUUGGUUCUGUUCUAACACUUCCACCAUUCCAGAGUUGCGUUCAUGGGCUUAUAAUUUCAUCCACUAUCAACAAAACUUGGUUCAAAACCAAACAGGAAGACGGUGUUUAGCUCCUAGGGUUGCGUUGGCGAUGGCAAUGGAUUCAGGAGGCAAGUGUCACUAUAGCAGAGUCGGAGUCGCCGUGUUGGUACAACCGUUGACAAAAAUAGCUUCAACCAUAGAUGAAAAAUGCUUCAACCGGCUCCAACCAUCCAUGUCCAAACCGGUGCCGCCAGGUGCUGCGACCGUCGGCAUGAGACCUGCACCAUGUUGCAACCAUUUGGGCAUGGAGCUGGAACCAGUGACGUGA
RNAcentral lists this ribosomal RNA (363 nucleotides) under Triticum aestivum (bread wheat). RNAcentral's name for it is "partial small subunit ribosomal RNA". The record is from RNAcentral. Lineage: Eukaryota; Viridiplantae; Streptophyta; Magnoliopsida; Poales; Poaceae.